GUCGAGCGAACGGACGAGAAGCUUGCUUCUCUGAUGUUAGCGGCGGACGGGUGAGUAACACGUGGAUAACCUACCUAUAAGACUGGGAUAACUUCGGGAAACCGGAGCUAAUACCGGAUAAUAUUUUGAACCGCAUGGUUCAAAAGUGAAAGACGGUCUUGCUGUCACUUAUAGAUGGAUCCGCGCUGCAUUAGCUAGUUGGUAAGGUAACGGCUUACCAAGGCAACGAUGCAUAGCCGACCUGAGAGGGUGAUCGGCCACACUGGAACUGAGACACGGUCCAGACUCCUACGGGAGGCAGCAGUAGGGAAUCUUCCGCAAUGGGCGAAAGCCUGACGGAGCAACGCCGCGUGAGUGAUGAAGGUCUUCGGAUCGUAAAACUCUGUUAUUAGGGAAGAACAUAUGUGUAAGUAACUGUGCACAUCUUGACGGUACCUAAUCAGAAAGCCACGGCUAACUACGUGCCAGCAGCCGCGGUAAUACGUAGGUGGCAAGCGUUAUCCGGAAUUAUUGGGCGUAAAGCGCGCGUAGGCGGUUUUUUAAGUCUGAUGUGAAAGCCCACGGCUCAACCGUGGAGGGUCAUUGGAAACUGGAAAACUUGAGUGCAGAAGAGGAAAGUGGAAUUCCAUGUGUAGCGGUGAAAUGCGCA
RNAcentral lists this ribosomal RNA (649 nucleotides) under uncultured Staphylococcus sp. Its description in RNAcentral is "bacterial SSU rRNA". It matches the Rfam family "Bacterial small subunit ribosomal RNA", at positions 61 to 692 of the family's 1533-position model. The record is from RNAcentral. Lineage: Bacteria; Bacillati; Bacillota; Bacilli; Caryophanales; Staphylococcaceae.